RNAcentral lists this ribosomal RNA (119 nucleotides) under Pteropus alecto (black flying fox). Lineage: Eukaryota; Metazoa; Chordata; Mammalia; Chiroptera; Pteropodidae. The record is from RNAcentral.
CUCUAUGGCCAUGUCACCCUGAAUGUGCCUGAUAUUGUCAGAUCUCAGAAGCUAAGCAGAAUCGGGCCUGGUUAGUACUUGGAUUGGAGAACACCUAGGAAUACCAGGUGCUAUAGGUG